Molecule: ribosomal RNA, 524 nt
Filed under: Meyerozyma guilliermondii
Lineage: Eukaryota; Fungi; Ascomycota; Pichiomycetes; Serinales; Debaryomycetaceae
Description: LSU rRNA
Rfam family: Eukaryotic large subunit ribosomal RNA
Source: RNAcentral
UCAUAAGCGGUGGAAAAGAAACCAACAGGGAUUGCCUUAGUAGCGGCGAGUGAAGCGGCAAAAGCUCAAAUUUGAAAUCUGGCACCUUCGGUGUCCGAGUUGUAAUUUGAAGAUUGUAACCUUGGGGUUGGCUCUUGUCUAUGUUUCUUGGAACAGGACGUCACAGAGGGUGAGAAUCCCGUGCGAUGAGAUGCCCAAUCCUAUGUAAGGUGCUUUCGAAGAGUCGAGUUGUUUGGGAAUGCAGCUCUAAGUGGGUGGUAAAUUCCAUCUAAAGCUAAAUAUUGGCGAGAGACCGAUAGCGAACAAGUACAGUGAUGGAAAGAUGAAAAGAACUUUGAAAAGAGAGUGAAAAAGUACGUGAAAUUGUUGAAAGGGAAGGGUUUGAGAUCAGACUCGAUAUUUUGUGAGCCUUGCCUUCGUGGCGGGGUGACCCGCAGCUUAUCGGGCCAGCAUCGGUUUGGGCGGUAGGAUAAUGGCGUAGGAAUGUGACUUUGCUUCGGUGAAGUGUUAUAGCCUGCGUUGAU